RNAcentral lists this long non-coding RNA (1578 nucleotides) under Helianthus annuus (common sunflower). RNAcentral's name for it is "hypothetical non coding rna". The record is from RNAcentral. Lineage: Eukaryota; Viridiplantae; Streptophyta; Magnoliopsida; Asterales; Asteraceae.
GUUAUGUAUUGAACGUUCCUGUCCAUAUACACAUGUUCAUAACAAAUCAUUGUUUAUGCUUAGUCAAGGUGGUACUUAUUAGAAAAAGAAAGGAGAGAUUGAAGCCUAUCAUGAUAUAGAUGAGGUACAACAAUUAUUCAUAUAGCCUCAAUAAUUCAAACUUUUAUGUAUUAUUGAUUAGCAUAUUCAUUGUAAACGCGUAAAGAUUUCACUACUAGAAAAUUGGGUUGUUUGACAUUUCCUACUCCGAUUUAGAGUUUUCCGCCAGUAGUUAGCCAGUAAAUUGUCGCUAAAGUAGGGUUUUCUUACGCGUUGGAAUCUCUUCUAGAAAUCAUAAUCAUCAUAGUAAAUCCCACCAAUAGCAAAGCUAAGGUAGGUUCUGAGGAAGGUAAGAUGUAGACAGCCUUACCUCUACCCUGUAGGAAUAGAGAAAUUGCUUCCAGUGAGACCCUCGGCUCGAUAGUAGAUAAGGCACAUAACACUCAGCAAUUAAGACAAAGGGAAGGUUGUCUAGUAGUGUUUUAUAUGUUUUAGAUGUUUUAUAAAUGUGAAAUAUGAAAAGGGAAGAGGAGAUGGAUCUCACAUUGAUGGAAGAUGGUAAAAAGAAGUCAUGAUCAUCUUGGAGAUCCGGUACGGUUUGUGGUUGUGGAGCAUCCACAUCCGAAAUGUAAAGUGGACCCUUAUUGACCCAUGACUUCAUGAUCUUCUCAUAGUCAAGCUUCAACACCAAUUUGUUCCUAAGCGGAUUACGAUUAUUAUUAUUACUAUUACUAUUACUAUUUUGACGACGACAGGAAGCUGUUGUCGUAGAAGACGACGAAGAUAUCUCUCUAACCGCCUUCUUCCUAUCCACAACCUCCGAAUAACAAACCCAUUUUUCCUGAUCAUGAACUUUGUCCGUCUUAUUCCUCCUCAUCGCGGUUCGAACAAGCUCCACCUCCUCGUCGGCUACCGACGAGGGAGAUGGAACAUUGUUCGUGUCAUGACCGUUGUCCUCUUUUUCAUCUUUGGCUUCGGUGCAUAGGAUUCCGGUUAGAGUUGUAGCGGCUCCAUCUACAUCGUCACACGAUGAGAACAUGCGAGCCAUGAUGGGUUCUUCGUCUAGUUUAUCUUGUUCCACUAGAUUCUCGGGGUGUAGUGGAAAAAGAUUAAGUUGUUGUUGUUUAUGAUCAUGGUGGUUAGUAGGGGGCAUUGGUGGUGGUGUGUGCUUUUGGAUGGAUUGAGGAAAGGGGUGGGAUGAGGUGAUUGGGUAUUUGGGAGAUUUCGUUUGGAUCCUAUAGAUAAGAGUGGAUGCUUGCUUGCACGUGAUAAUGGUGAUACUUUUAUUAGAAAUAAAUUGUUGGACUUUAAUGAAUAAGUGAUGACACUUAACACUUUUGGAAAUAUAAACCGAUAAAUAAUUCACUUAUAAGAGUUAAAUUAUUUUUGAAUGAAAAAAAUAUUAUUUUUUGUUAAUAUUUAAUGAAUUUAAGGAAAAAUUUUAAGAAACUUAGUUACUAUUGUUGAUUACAAUCAACUUUAGUAUUAUCAUAUACAAUAUAAAUCAGGAUAUUUUUGUCUUUUUUUAAUCACCGUAUA